Molecule: long non-coding RNA, 555 nt
Filed under: Mytilus galloprovincialis (Mediterranean mussel)
Lineage: Eukaryota; Metazoa; Mollusca; Bivalvia; Mytilida; Mytilidae
Source: RNAcentral
AGAAACUAUAUCUAAGUUUAAGAAGAUGAUAUAUAACUUAUUAUGGGACGGUGGUAGUGAGAAAGUAAAACGCUCAGUGCUAAGAAAAAAUUAUUUAGAAGGGGGGUUAAAAAUGACAGAUCUAGAUUCUUACAUUGAAGCAAUGAAAAUAAAUUGGGUUAAAAGGCUUACAGAUGAAACUUGGGCAAACUGGAAAAUUAUUCCAACCUACUAUUUCAGUGAGUUUGGGGGUAAGCACCUUAUAUUUAAAAUGAAUCUGGGUUCUCAUAAAUCAUUAAAGAACAUAAAAAACCUGCCUACUUUUUACUUAGAAAUCUUAAAAUGCUGGAUUAAAAAUGGUGACGGGAAGACAAAAAAACCUGAGAACUUUUUAGAUAUAAGGAAACAAGUUAUAUGGAGAAAUCAAUAUAUUAAAAAUCAAGGCAAAAUUUUGUAUUUUAAACAUUGGAUAGAAGAAGAUAUAAUUUUUAUUAACGACAUAAUCGACGAUAAAGGAGAAAUUUCUCAAUUUUUUUUAGACAAACUUAAAAGGAAACAAAAUUGGAUAGCAGAAAC